Molecule: ribosomal RNA, 872 nt
Filed under: Phellinus erectus
Lineage: Eukaryota; Fungi; Basidiomycota; Agaricomycetes; Hymenochaetales; Hymenochaetaceae
Description: eukaryotic LSU rRNA
Rfam family: Eukaryotic large subunit ribosomal RNA
Source: RNAcentral
UAACAAGGAUUCCCCUAGUAACUGCGAGUGAAGCGGGAAGAGCUCAAAUUUAAAAUCUGGCAGUCUUCUGGCUGUCCGAGUUGUAAUCUGGAGAAGCGUUUUCUGUGUUAGACYGUGUACAAGUCUCCUGGAACGGAGCGUCAUAGAGGGUGAGAAUCCCGUCCAUGACACGGACUACUAAUACUUUGUGAUACGCUCUCGAAGAGUCGAGUUGUUUGGGAAUGCAGCUCAAAAUGGGUGGUAAAUUCCAUCUAAAGCUAAAUACAGGCGAGAGACCGAUAGCGAACAAGUACCGUGAGGGAAAGAUGAAAAGCACUUUGGAAAGAGAGUUAAACAGUACGUGAAAUUGUUGAAAGGGAAACGCUUGAAGUCAGUCGCGUUGUGCAGAACUCAGCCUUGCCUCGGCUUGGUGUACUUUCUGCACAACGGGUCAACAUCAAUUUUGGCCUAUGGAGAAAGGUGGGGGGAAUGUAGCGCUGUUUCGGCAGCGUGUUAUAGCCCUCUAUUGUAUACAUGGGCUGGGAUUGAGGAUCGCAGCACGCCCUUGUGGCCGGGGGUUCGCCCUACGUACCGUGCUUAGGAUGUUGGCAGAAUGGCUUUAAGCGACCCGUCUUGAAACACGGACCAAGGAGUCUAACAUGCUUGCGAGUGUUCGGGUGGAAAACCCUUGUGCGUAAUGAAAGUGAAAGUUGGGAACCUCCGCAAGGGGGUGCACCGACGCCCGGCCCUGACGUUCUCUGACGGUGCUGCGGUAGAGCAAGUAUGCUAGGACCCGAAAGAUGGUGAACUAUGCCUGAAUAGGGCGAAGCCAGAGGAAACUCUGGUGGAGGCUCGUAGCGAUUCUGACGUGCAAAUCGAUCGUCAAAUUUGGG